GUAAGUUUUGCUUGUAUUUUGGAGAAACUCGAUUGAUGAACAAACUUGGUUUACCACUACAUCGUCGCUUAUUAUUAUUUGUUGCUGCUUGGGACAAUAAAGUUAAGUCAGCAACCGUCUACCAGACUGCAAGAUUCAUCUCUUCCAAAGGAUGUCGUACCUUUCCAGAUACACUGUGUUUUGUGUGGAUAAGAAAUGCAGAGUGGUACCACCAAUCACCUAAGCCACCAUUCCCCUAACAGACAAUAGGCUCAUGGGGACAGUUCCUGCAAUUUACAGAAAAGCUCUCAAUUGUAGCCCUACGAACAUCAGAUACUGCCGAUGGUGAAGCUUGGGUGCACCGGGCCGGUUUUCCAGCCGUGUGGAAUCAACAUCUCCAGCUGAACUGGGGCCGGGAAUUAUAUAAGACUCCUUAGCAGCAUG
This is a long non-coding RNA of Mya arenaria, 423 nucleotides long. RefSeq lists it as uncharacterized. NCBI's taxonomy places the organism in Eukaryota, Metazoa, Mollusca, Bivalvia, Myida, Myidae. The transcript has 4 exons. The record is from RefSeq and is a predicted model, not a curated record.